Molecule: small RNA, 423 nt
Filed under: uncultured Frankia sp.
Lineage: Bacteria; Bacillati; Actinomycetota; Actinomycetes; Frankiales; Frankiaceae
Description: bacterial SSU rRNA
Rfam family: Bacterial small subunit ribosomal RNA (bases 1-185)
Source: RNAcentral
GGGGUCCGUAAGGGUCCUGCACAGGUGGUGCAUGGCUGUCGUCAGCUCGUGUCGUGAGAUGUUGGGUUAAGUCCCGCAACGAGCGCAACCCACGUCCUAUGUUGCCAGCGAGUAAUGUCGGGGACUCAUAGGAGACUGCCGGGGUCAACUCGGAGGAAGGUGGGGAUGACGUCAAGUCGUGUCGUGAGAUGUUGGGUUAAGAUAUCGCAGCCUCCCACGUCCUUCAUCGGCUCCUGGUGCCAAGGCAUCCACCGUGCGCCCUUAAUAACUUGGCCACAAAGAUGCUCGCGUCCACUGUGCAGUUCUCAACGUACGGACGGACACCAGCCGCACCAGCAAGACUCACCCGUCCAACGACAAGCAGUAUCCUGCGACGACCAGCCCGCACCACCCUCGCGAACACCCCCACCCUCCACAGAGGAC